GGAAAAGGCACAGUGCUUCCCUGAGAACAGAUGGGGAGGAAAUAGGAGCAAAGUCCAUCCUCCCAGAGGUACCAAUGCAGCCAAUGGCUGACACAUUCCUCUUCAGUGACCUACACCAGGGAGGCAUCAACAGGCUGAAGAUGACGGAGAAGGAGAUGCUGUAAGAAGGACAGACCCCCAGAUCUGCAAUGCUACCACUACCAUCCACAGUAAUGGCUAAAUUACAGGGCCAUGGAGCAGGAUCCAAGAGUAUGUGCUACAUGUGUGUUCCUGACCUUCCCAGGUUGAAUUUCCAUGGGACAGCUGAAAUCUCCAGCACUGGUGUAAGGCUGAAGCUGGCUGGCUACCCUGCUCAAGGGAGGGUUUCAUAGAGAGAAGGAAGCUUCUUCUAAAGCUGCAUCCAGGAGUUGGACUCAAAGGCCUUUAUGAUUCCCUUCCAACUUGGGAUAUUCUGGUUCUGUCUCCACUGCACUGGGGGCUGGACAAGACAAUCUCCAGAGAUCCCUUCCAACCCCUAGGAUUAUGUGGGUCUGUGGAUGCUGAAUUGUUAGAGGCUGUCCUCUGUGCCACCCAAGAGCUCCUUGCAGACAUAAUUUUGAAGUCCUGGUCAAGGGUGCAAAGUGUCCAACUGUAGCAUAUGGCUCAUUUUUCUCUGAAGCACCAUGCCUGUGCUGUGCUGAAAUAUUUAGCAGAUAAGGAGCACUUGUUCCUCUGGACCUGAGAUGCCAAUUUCAUCCUGGACAGUUUUUUCCUGAAGUGAAGAUUUAGGGUGCUGAGGAAAGCCAUAAUGUCUCCUUUUGGUGCCCUCCUUGGUGUUUCGCUGAAGUUCAGUGGCUGACAACAUGCAGGACAUCACACUAGAAAACCUCAUGGUUAUUUCUUGACUUCAAUUCUCGUGCCUUUCUGAAAUUGCUAAAGAAAAUGAAUGCCCUUGCUAGUGAGCACCUAAAUAUAAGGUGGCAAAUCUUGGCAAUCAUUGGCCAGGUUAGCUCAUAUUCACCCUAACAAAGCAGAAUUAUACAUUGGUAAGUAAGUGCUGUUGUAGGGUUUUUGCAGAAAUGUGAGGAACAAUCUGAUCUCCUACAUAGUGAAGCAAGUGUAGUAGCUUUAACUGACAUUAAAAGAAAUCAAUAGAGCAUGAUCCAGAUGUUUGCUGAAGUAUUCAAGUUGUAACAGCAGCUGCCUCACUCAUGUCCAAACUGACUGCAAACAAUGAGUUAGACCAGUCAGAGAGUGGGAGGAAUCCUGGGAGGACUGACCAAGUUGCUGCUGAAAUCAUGGCCGAUCUCCCAGCUAGAUCCAACUUUGACAUCAGAUCCAAGUUACCUAUGGCCUUGUCCGGUCAAAUUUUGAAUAUUUUCAAGUGGACGGGUGUAGCACUCUGGAACACACAAUUAGUGCAGGGUGCACACAACACGGUGCAGUUCCCCAGUGCUGUGAAUGGUGCAGGAUUGUCAUGCAGAGAUGUCUGUGUGUUCUCCUGGGCACCUCCGGAGCAGUCCCAGGGUGCUGGUGGGGUUGGUUGUGGCUGUCCAACAAAAGCCUUCCACAGCCACAAGCUCAGCUCCCUCUGGGAAUGAAAAAAGCAAGAAAGCAAGACAUAAAAAAAGAUCAGACCUAGUAUAAGUAUUAAGACAUUCUCAGAAAACCCCAAGAGAUGGCAACAUGGUAGAAAGCCAGCCACAAGCUGGAGCAGGGCUGGUAUGUCUUCUCUUGAGAGUUCAGGAGAAUUUCCUGUCUCCCGUGAUGGAGUGAUCUUUCUAUAGCACUUUAUGUAAGAUAUGAAACCCUUUUCUAUUUCCCAUUGCUCUUGAAGGCUCUGCAACAGCUCUGUACCAGUUGCCUCUAAGCCACAUGCAGAGACCUUGCAGUUCUCAUGGUCCUCUGCAGUGUCAUUCUGCAGGUGCUUGAUCCUCUUAUAACCAUUGAUGAGAAAGACUAGCAAAGAAUGGCUCUAUGUUUGGGGCAAUAUCUAUGGGUGAAAAAAAUAGAGACACACUCUCCCUUCUGUCAUAGAUCUCACAGAGUCAUAGAAUAUCCUGGGUUGGAAGGCAUCCAUAAGGACCGUAGAGUCCAACUUCUGGCUCCACACAGGACCCCCAAAAAACCUGAGAGCAUCAUCCAGAUGCUGCUUUAACUCCAGCAAGUUCUGAGUUCUGACCACUUACUUCCCUGGGGAAGAUCUCUUGGAUGACCUUGGGUGAGUCAUUUAAACUCAGCCAUCUUCUUGGUCUUAAAACUGGAAACUGGUUUGGCUUCCUCAUCUCAGAGUCAUAGAAUCACAGAAUGAAUCAUAGAACCAUAGAAUGGCUUGGGUUGGAAGAGACCUCAAGGAUCAUCAAACUCCAAGCCCCCGCCACAGGCAGGGCUAACAUCUUCCAUAUUUAAUACUAGAGCAGGCUGCCCAGGGCCCCAUCCAACCUGGCCUUGAACACCUCCAGGGAUGGGGCAUCCACAGCCUCUGUGGGCAGCCUCUUCCAGCACCUCACCACUCUCAUUGUAAAGAACUUCCCCCUGAUAUCCAACCUAGAUCUUCCCUUCUUGUGUCAGAGUGAGGAGGACCAGGUAAGACCAUAUGGGUUGGUCAUAGAUAAUGGACAGGUUGUGCAGAGCUUGGUUCUCACUGCAUGAAGGCAGUGUUCCCCCUGCAGGGAGUUUGCUGCAGCUCCGGAGCCUCUGAAUCGUCUAUUUUUUUGGGGAAGGAAAAAUUAUUCAGGUAGCCAAGAAAGCAGAAGAGUGUGAUUUAUAACAGGGAAAAUCCACAGCUUCUGCUGUUGCUUAAAUAAUUGUUAAAGCUGUUGUGGCAUAAGGUAGGGAUGACUUAGAAAGCAGCACCUAUUUCUUUUGAAAUCAGAGCUUCAGCAAAUGCUUCCUGCGUGUUGUGACUGGAGAGAUGAGCUGUCCUUUUUAUUUUUGGUUGCUUUCAUUUCCUCUUUCUUAUUUUUCUUCGUUUCAUGAGAAGAAUGUGUCGCUUGCAGACAAUCAAACUAAAUAAAACUUGGGGAUUUAAAU
This 3012-nucleotide long non-coding RNA is filed under the name Gallus gallus (chicken). RNAcentral describes it as "lncRNA (ENSGALG00010027565.1)". The record is from RNAcentral. Lineage: Eukaryota; Metazoa; Chordata; Aves; Galliformes; Phasianidae.